This 2260-nucleotide ribosomal RNA is filed under the name Salmonella enterica. RNAcentral describes it as "partial 23S ribosomal RNA". Lineage: Bacteria; Pseudomonadati; Pseudomonadota; Gammaproteobacteria; Enterobacterales; Enterobacteriaceae. The record is from RNAcentral.
GGGCGUUAAGUUGCAGGGUAUAGACCCGAAACCCGGUGAUCUAGCCAUGGGCAGGUUGAAGGUUGGGUAACACUAACUGGAGGACCGAACCGACUAAUGUUGAAAAAUUAGCGGAUGACCUGUGGCUGGGGGUGAAAGGCCAAUCAAACCGGGAGAUAGCUGGUUCUCCCCGAAAGCUAUUUAGGUAGCGCCUCGUGAAYUCAUCUCCGGGGGUAGAGCACUGUUUCGGCUAGGGGGCCAUCCCGGCUUACCAACCCGAUGCAAACUGCGAAUACCGGAGAAUGUUAUCACGGGAGACACACGGCGGGUGCUAACGUCCGUCGUGAAGAGGGAAACAACCCAGACCGCCAGCUAAGGUCCCAAAGUCAUGGUUAAGUGGGAAACGAUGUGGGAAGGCCCAGACAGCCAGGAUGUUGGCUUAGAAGCAGCCAUCAUUUAAAGAAAGCGUAAUAGCUCACUGGUCGAGUCGGCCUGCGCGGAAGAUGUAACGGGGCUAAACCAUGCACCGAAGCUGCGGCAGCGACRCUGAUGYGUUGUUGGGUAGGGGAGCGUUCUGUAAGCCUGYGAAGGUGKSYYGUGAGGSWUGCUGGAGGUAUCAGAAGUGCGAAUGCUGACAUAAGUAACGAUAAAGCGGGUGAAAAGCCCGCUCGCCGGAAGACCAAGGGUUCCUGUCCAACGUUAAUCGGGGCAGGGUGAGUCGACCCCUAAGGCGAGGCCGAAAGGCGUAGUCGAUGGGAAACGGGUUAAUAUUCCCGUACUUGGUGUUACUGCGAAGGGGGGACGGAGAAGGCUAUGUUGGCCGGGCGACGGUUGUCCCGGUUUAAGCGUGUAGGUGUGUGUUCCAGGUAAAUCCGGUUCACUUUAACACUGAGGCGUGAYGACGAGGCACUACGGUGCUGAAGCAACAAAUGCCCUGCUUCCAGGAAAAGCCUCUAAGCAUCAGGUAACAUCAAAUCGUACCCCAAACCGACACAGGUGGUCAGGUAGAGAAUACCAAGGCGCUUGAGAGAACUCGGGUGAAGGAACUAGGCAAAAUGGUGCCGUAACUUCGGGAGAAGGCACGCUGACACGUAGGUGAAGUGAUUUACUCAYGGAGCUGAAGUCAGUCGAAGAUACCAGCUGGCUGCAACUGUUUAUUAAAAACACAGCACUGUGCAAACACGAAAGUGGACGUAUACGGUGUGACGCCUGCCCGGUGCCGGAAGGUUAAUUGAUGGGGUCAGCGCAAGCGAAGCUCCUGAUCGAAGCCCCGGUAAACGGCGGCCGUAACUAUAACGGUCCUAAGGUAGCGAAAUUCCUUGUCGGGUAAGUUCCGACCUGCACGAAUGGCGUAAUGAUGGCCAGGCUGUCUCCACCCGAGACUCAGUGAAAUUGAACUCGCUGUGAAGAUGCAGUGUACCCGCGGCAAGACGGAAAGACCCCGUGAACCUUUACUAUAGCUUGACACUGAACAUUGAGCCUUGAUGUGUAGGAUAGGUGGGAGGCUUUGAAGUGUGGACGCCAGUCUGCAUGGAGCCGACCUUGAAAUACCACCCUUUAAUGUUUGAUGUUCUAACGUGGACCCGUWAYCCGGGUUGCGGACAGUGUCUGGUGGGUAGUUUGACUGGGGCGGUCUCCUCCUAAAGAGUAACGGAGGAGCACGAAGGUUGGCUAAUCCUGGUCGGACAUCAGGAGGUUAGUGCAAUGGCAUAAGCCAGCUUGACUGCGAGCGUGACGGCGCGAGCAGGUGCGAAAGCAGGUCAUAGUGAUCCGGUGGUUCUGAAUGGAAGGGCCAUCGCUCAACGGAUAAAAGGUACUCCGGGGAUAACAGGCUGAUACCGCCCAAGAGUUCAUAUCGACGGCGGUGUUUGGCACCUCGAUGUCGGCUCAUCACAUCCUGGGGCUGAAGUAGGUCCCAAGGGUAUGGCUGUUCGCCAUUUAAAGUGGUACGCGAGCUGGGUUUAGAACGUCGUGAGACAGUUCGGUCCCUAUCUGCCGUGGGCGCUGGAGAACUGAGGGGGGCUGCUCCUAGUACGAGAGGACCGGAGUGGACGCAUCACUGGUGUUCGGGUUGUCAUGCCAAUGGCACUGCCCGGUAGCUAAAUGCGGAAGAGAUAAGUGCUGAAAGCAUCUAAGCACGAAACUUGCCCCGAGAUGAGUUCUCCCUGAGACUUWRRGUCUCCUGAAGGAACGUUGAAGACGACGACGUUGAUAGGCCGGGUGUGUAAGCGCAGCGAUGCGUUGAGCUAACCGGUACUAAUGAACCGUGAGGCUUAACCUU